AUUGAACGCUGGCGGCAGGCUUAACACAUGCAAGUCGAACGAUGACUCUCUAGCUUGCUAGAGAAGAUUAGUGGCGGACGGGUGAGUAACAUUUAGGAAUCUGCCUAGUAGUGGGGGAUAGCUCGGGGAAACUCGAAUUAAUACCGCAUACGACCUACGGGUGAAAGGGGGCGCAAGCUCUUGCUAUUAGAUGAGCCUAAAUCAGAUUAGCUAGUUGGUGGGGUAAAGGCCCACCAAGGCGACGAUCUGUAACUGGUCUGAGAGGAUGAUCAGUCACACCGGAACUGAGACACGGUCCGGACUCCUACGGGAGGCAGCAGUGGGGAAUAUUGGACAAUGGGGGCAACCCUGAUCCAGCCAUGCCGCGUGUGUGAAGAAGGCCUUUUGGUUGUAAAGCACUUUAAGCAGGGAGGAGAGGCUAAUGGUUAAUACCCAUUAGAUUAGACGUUACCUGCAGAAUAAGCACCGGCUAACUCUGUGCCAGCAGCCGCGGUAAUACAGAGGGUGCGAGCGUUAAUCGGAAUUACUGGGCGUAAAGCGAGUGUAGGUGGCUCAUUAAGUCACAUGUGAAAUCCCCGGGCUUAACCUGGGAACUGCAUGUGAUACUGGUGGUGCUAGAAUAUGUGAGAGGGAAGUAGAAUUCCAGGUGUAGCGGUGAAAUGCGUAGAGAUCUGGAGGAAUACCGAUGGCGAAGGCAGCUUCCUGGCAUAAUAUUGACACUGAGAUUCGAAAGCGUGGGUAGCAAACAGGAUUAGAUACCCUGGUAGUCCACGCCGUAAACGAUGUCUACUGGCCGUUGGGGUCCUUGAGACUUUAGUGGCGCAGUUAACGCGAUAAGUAGACCGCCUGGGGAGUACGGCCGCAAGGUUAAAACUCAAAUGAAUUGACGGGGGCCCGCACAAGCGGUGGAGCAUGUGGUUUAAUUCGAUGCAACGCGAAGAACCUUACCUGGUCUUGACAUAGUGAGAAUCCUGCAGAGAUGCGGGAGUGCCCUCGGGAAUUCACAUACAGGUGCUGCAUGGCUGUCGUCAGCUCGUGUCGUGAGAUGUUGGGUUAAGUCCCGCAACGAGCGCAACCCUUUUCCUUAUUUGCCAGCGGGUUAAGCCGGGAACUUUAAGGAUACUGCCAGUGACAAACUGGAGGAAGGCGGGGACGACGUCAAGUCAUCAUGGCCCUUACGACCAGGGCUACACACGUGCUACAAUGGUAGGUACAGAGGGUUGCUACACAGCGAUGUGAUGCUAAUCUCAAAAAGCCUAUCGUAGUCCGGAUUGGAGUCUGCAACUCGACUCCAUGAAGUCGGAAUCGCUAGUAAUCGCAGAUCAGAAUGCUGCGGUGAAUACGUUCCCGGGCCU
This 1355-nucleotide ribosomal RNA is filed under the name uncultured bacterium. Its description in RNAcentral is "bacterial SSU rRNA". It matches the Rfam family "Bacterial small subunit ribosomal RNA", at positions 28 to 1381 of the family's 1533-position model. The record is from RNAcentral.